Molecule: ribosomal RNA, 253 nt
Filed under: uncultured bacterium
Lineage: Bacteria
Also listed under: 1 other name
Description: partial 16S ribosomal RNA
Rfam family: Bacterial small subunit ribosomal RNA
Source: RNAcentral
UACGAAGGGGGCUAGCGUUGUUCGGAAUUACUGGGCGUAAAGCGCACGUAGGCGGAUUUGUUAGUCAGGGGUGAAAUCCCGGGGCUCAACCUCGGAACUGCCUUUGAUACUGCAAGUCUAGAGUCCGGAAGAGGUGAGUGGAAUUCCUAGUGUAGAGGUGAAAUUCGUAGAUAUUAGGAAGAACACCAGUGGCGAAGGCGGCUCACUGGUCCGGUACUGACGCUGAGGUGCGAAAGCGUGGGGAGCAAACAGG